Molecule: ribosomal RNA, 484 nt
Filed under: uncultured bacterium
Lineage: Bacteria
Description: bacterial SSU rRNA
Rfam family: Bacterial small subunit ribosomal RNA
Source: RNAcentral
GAUGAACGCUAGCGGCAGGCUUAACACAUGCAAGUCGAGGGGUAACAUUAGUGCUUGCACUAGAUGACGACCGGCGCACGGGUGCGUAACGCGUAUAGAAUCUACCUUUUACAGGGGGAUAGCCUUUAGAAAUGAAGAUUAAUAUCCCAUAGUAUUGUUUAGUGGCAUCACUUAACAAUUAAAGAUUUAUCGGUAAAAGAUGACUAUGCGUCCUAUUAGUUAGUUGGUAAGGUAACGGCUUACCAAGACUUCGAUAGGUAGGGGUCCUGAGAGGGAGAUCCCCCACACUGGUACUGAGACACGGACCAGACUCCUACGGGAGGCAGCAGUGAGGAAUAUUGGGCAAUGGAGGCAACUCUGACCCAGCCAUGCCGCGUGCAGGAAGACUGCCCUAUGGGUUGUAAACUGCUUUUAUACAGGAAGAAACACUGCUACGUGUAGCAGCUUGACGGUACUGUAAGAAUAAGGACCGGCUAACUCCGUG